CCUACGGGUGACAGCAGUGAGGAAUAUUGGUCAAUGGGCGCUAGCCUGAACCAGCCAAGUAGCGUGAGGGAUGACUGCCCUAUGGGUUGUAAACUUCUUUUAUAUGGACAUAAAAUGCCGUAUGUAUACUACUUUGCAGCUACCUAAUGCAUAAGGAUAGGCUAACUACGUGCCAGCAGCCGCGGUAUUACGGAGGAUCCGGGCGUUAUCCGGAUUUUUUGGGUUUAAAGGGAGCGUAGGCGGUUUGGUAAGUCAGUUGUGAAAGUUUGCGGCUCAACCGUAAAAUUGCAGUUGAUACUGGCAUCCUUGAGUACAGUAGAGGUAGGCGGAAUUCGUGGUGUAGCGGUGAAAUGCUUAGAUAUCACGAAGAACUCCGAUUGCGAAGGCAGCCUGCUGGACUGUAACUGACGCUGAUGCUCGAAAGUGUGGGUAUCAAACAGGAUUAGAUACCCGUGUAGUC
Molecule: ribosomal RNA, 460 nt
Filed under: uncultured bacterium
Lineage: Bacteria
Description: partial 16S ribosomal RNA
Rfam family: Bacterial small subunit ribosomal RNA
Source: RNAcentral